RNAcentral lists this ribosomal RNA (253 nucleotides) under uncultured bacterium. RNAcentral's name for it is "partial 16S ribosomal RNA". It matches the Rfam family "Bacterial small subunit ribosomal RNA", at positions 524 to 776 of the family's 1533-position model. The record is from RNAcentral.
UACGUAGGUGGCAAGCGUUAUCCGGAAUUACUGGGCGUAAAGCGCACGCAGGCGGUCUUGUAAGUUUGACGUGAAAGCUCCCGGCUUAAUUGGGAGAGGUCGUUGAAGACUGCAAGACUUGAGGAAAUGAGAGGGGUGUAGAAUUCCCGGUGUAGUGGUGGAAUGCGUAGAUAUCGGGAGGAACACCAGUGGCGAAGGCGGCUACCUGGCCCACUCUUGACGCUGAGGCGCGAAAGCUAGGGGAGCAAACGGG